Molecule: ribosomal RNA, 95 nt
Filed under: Escherichia coli
Lineage: Bacteria; Pseudomonadati; Pseudomonadota; Gammaproteobacteria; Enterobacterales; Enterobacteriaceae
Also listed under: 1 other name
Source: RNAcentral
CCUGGCGGCCGUAGCGCGGUGGUCCCACCUGACCCCAUGCCGAACUCAGAAGUGAAACGCCGUAGCGCCGAUGGUAGUGUGGGGUCUCCCCAUGU